UCAUGACCAAAUCACCUGGAGUGCAUCCAAUCUCAUCAGUUCUUGGACGCUAAAGCAGGGGUUGAGCCUGGGUAGUUCUGGGCUGGGUGACCGCUGUGCAUGCCAGGUGGCUAUAGGGC
This 119-nucleotide ribosomal RNA is filed under the name Petromyzon marinus (sea lamprey). Lineage: Eukaryota; Metazoa; Chordata; Hyperoartia; Petromyzontiformes; Petromyzontidae. The record is from RNAcentral.